This 817-nucleotide long non-coding RNA is filed under the name Fragaria vesca (wild strawberry). Its description in RNAcentral is "long non-coding RNA (FVES_LNC001580)". Lineage: Eukaryota; Viridiplantae; Streptophyta; Magnoliopsida; Rosales; Rosaceae. The record is from RNAcentral.
CCUCCAAAAGUUUGGGUGGGACUUGAGUCCCAGUCCCAUAUGCUGUAGAUCCGCCCCUGGUUUCUUGGGAAUUGCAGAUGAUUAAAUCCUUGUCCAAAUUGGAGUACGUAUCAUUCUUAAUUGAAGUUUUCUUCUUUGCAUGGCAAAAGCUGGACUUAGGGCAUUUUUGCAAUUCAACGUCAUCACGGUAAAUUCUCAGACAAUGCAGAACACGUCUCAUGCCUUGCUUCGAGGAUUCAAAGUUGGUGUAAGAUCUGGAAUCCAGAACGCAGAGAUAUUUGACACGAAUGGGGUUGAGGGUUGAAACCCUCUCCCUCUGUUGGUAAACUUGCUUCACUUCCUUGAAGCUUUCUGAGGAUUCAAUCGGAUCGUAAACCUAAUCAACCCAAGUCCCCAAUCCAACCUCUGGGUUCGAGAUGGGCCCAGUGAUUGCAUCGAAUUGAAUUCAUUGCGUUUUCUGCAGAAUUGAGUCCCUGUUCAUUUGUUUCUCCUGGGAUACUUUUGUGAAUUUCAAUUUUCAUUUCUUGGAGAAGGAAUAUGAUUUGGAGUGUCUGGAAUUGGGUUUGGUAAGGUUAUAAAUAUGCUCAAGUUUUGGUCCAGCUUUGAACAAGUCAGGAUCGUUAUCUGUGUAUGAGAGCUUAAGUUGAUCGUGACAUGAUUUUUGUGUUUUAUAUAUCUGGGAGCUCUGUGAUCAGUUUAGGUUGGCAUUGUAGAACUGAAGCUUGAAUUUCAGAAUGAUGAUUUGCUGAAAUUUUGUUCAUAUGAUGAUUUGCUGAGAUUUUAUUCAUAUGGCAAUGUCAUUUUUUUUAUUGACUUG